UGUUAGUAAUUUUAUCCAUUUAUAUUAUUAAAAACUAGCAUGACUAAUGGGAUAAUCAAACAAUGGCAUUACAUGCCACUUAUACCUCAUGUUGAUGUAUGAUGAUUAAUUAGUUUUUAACAGUAAAAAUAAAUGAAAUUUUUAAUA
RNAcentral lists this microRNA precursor (147 nucleotides) under Gossypium hirsutum (cotton). Its description in RNAcentral is "MIR7502 microRNA precursor family". It matches the Rfam family "MIR7502 microRNA precursor family". Lineage: Eukaryota; Viridiplantae; Streptophyta; Magnoliopsida; Malvales; Malvaceae. The record is from Rfam by way of RNAcentral.